RNAcentral lists this ribosomal RNA (765 nucleotides) under uncultured Glomus. RNAcentral's name for it is "SSU rRNA". It matches the Rfam family "Eukaryotic small subunit ribosomal RNA", at positions 342 to 1108 of the family's 1831-position model. Lineage: Eukaryota; Fungi; Glomeromycota; Glomeromycetes; Glomerales; Glomeraceae. The record is from RNAcentral.
UACCAUGGUGGUAACGGGUAACGGGGUGUUAGGGCACGACACCGGAGAGGGAGCCUGAGAAACGGCUACCACAAUCAAGGAUGGCGGCAGGCGCGCAAAUUACCCAAUCCCGACACGGGGAGGUAGUGACAAUAAAUAACAAUACGGGGUUCUUUAGGAUCUCGUAAUUGGAAUGAGUACAAUUUAAAUCUCUUAACGAGGAACAAUUGGAGGGCAAGUCUGGUGCCAGCAGCCGCGGUAAUUCCAGCUCCAAUAGCGUAUAUUAAAGUUGUUGCAGUUAAAAAGCUCGUAGUUGAAUUUCGGGGUCAGUAGGUCGGUCGUGCCACUGGUAUGAACUGGUUUUACUGAUUCCUCCCUCUUGAAGAACUGUAAUGCCAUUAAUUUGGUGUUGCAGGGAAUCAGGACUGUUACUUUGAAAAAAUUAGAGUGUUUAAAGCAGGCUUUAGCUUGAAUACAUUAGCAUGGAAUAAUGAAAUAGGACGUUUGAUCCUAUUUUGUUGGUUUCUAGGAUUGACGUAAUGAUUAAUAGGGAUAGUUGGGGGCAUUAGUAUUCAAUUGUCAGAGGUGAGAUUCUUGGAUUUAUUGAAGACUAACUACUGCGAAAGCAUUUGCCAAGGAUGUUUUCAUUAAUCAAGAACGAAAGUUAGGGGAUCGAAGACGAUCAGAUACCGUCGUAGUCUUAACCAUAAACUAUGCCGACUAGGGAUCGGAUGAUGUUAAUUUUUUAAUGACUCAUUCGGCGCCUUACGGGAAACCAAAGUGUUU